This 305-nucleotide ribosomal RNA is filed under the name uncultured bacterium. Its description in RNAcentral is "bacterial SSU rRNA". It matches the Rfam family "Bacterial small subunit ribosomal RNA", at positions 337 to 640 of the family's 1533-position model. The record is from RNAcentral.
ACCUACGGGGUGCAGCAGUGAGGAAUAUUGGUCAAUGGUCGGGAGACUGAACCAGCCAAGCCGCGUGAGGGAUGAAGGUACAGAGUAUCGUAAACCUCUUUUGUCAGGGAACAAAGGCAGGGACGCGUCCCCGGAUGAGUGUACCUGAAGAAAAAGCAUCGGCUAACUCCGCGCCAGCAGCCGCGGUAAUACGGAGGAUGCGAGCGUUAUCCGGAUUUAUUGGGUUUAAAGGGUGCGCAGGCGGUCUGUUAAGUCAGCGGUCAAAGCCCGGGGCUCAACCCCGGCCCGCCGUUGAAACUGGCAGU